UAGCAGAUGAUAUUUGAUUACACUUCUCUAGCAAGGCGCCACUUUCAUAACUCAAAUUUCAAUUUUCUUAUACGUUUAUGAAACCAAAACCAAUAUCAUUGUUUUACUGUUAGUUUCUAGUUUCUAAAUCAAUGUCAUCGUUUUAGCCAGGUAUAAUUGCGAAACUCAAUUGUAAUGGAGUUAUGUGCAACUUCAUCAAGAGAUGUGGCUCCCGAGGAGCAAUCACAAAUAGAACUAGCAUCCGCCUUAAAGCAAUGUGAAAAGUUAUUGAUGAAUGACAGUCUCAUCCCCAAGACAAUAAGUUUGUAUGUUUUUUACCUCAGCAACAGAGGCAAUGUUGAAGGAAUUGUACUUUCGAAUUUUGGACAUGAUUGGGGAAAUGAAAUUAGUUGAGGAAGAAGAAUGAGUCUUGGCAAAUGAAGAGGAUGAGAAGUCUGAUACUACUGCAGAAGAGAUCAGUACGUCUGAUUCUGAUUAUUUGGAAUCUCCGUAGAAAAAAGGAUAAAGUUUUAUUUCUUUGGAACAAAAAAGAAAAGCC
Molecule: long non-coding RNA, 538 nt
Filed under: Androctonus crassicauda
Lineage: Eukaryota; Metazoa; Arthropoda; Arachnida; Scorpiones; Buthidae
Source: RNAcentral